This 117-nucleotide ribosomal RNA is filed under the name Jaculus jaculus (lesser Egyptian jerboa). Lineage: Eukaryota; Metazoa; Chordata; Mammalia; Rodentia; Dipodidae. The record is from RNAcentral.
UUUUAGAAUGUCACCACCCUGAACAUGCCUGAUCUCAUCUGAUCUCAGGAGCUAAGCAGGAUUGGGCCUGGUUAGUACUUGGAUGGAAGAAUAUUACUACCCAUAGUAUUUUAGUGA